Non-coding RNA from Musa acuminata subsp. malaccensis (wild Malaysian banana), 959 nucleotides. NCBI's taxonomy places the organism in Eukaryota, Viridiplantae, Streptophyta, Magnoliopsida, Zingiberales, Musaceae. The record is from RefSeq and is a predicted model, not a curated record.
UAUUUUCUUUUAUGAUUUUUUCCUUGAUGAUAGCCUGUGCUUCUUUUUUUACCUCUCUAUUUAGAGACUAGAACGCCCUUCCCUGUGAUGAACGAUCAGGAUCUGCUCGAGCUAUAGGUUGGACGGUCGGAUUGGGGUCGGGUGGGCUUGCAUCAGCCUACGGGUGAGAUAACGAGAUGCGAUUGGAAUUGGAACUUUGCAAUUUGCAAGUAGAGAUGGAGAGGAUCCUCCACCCUGCAAUAUCGCCGAGGGAUGUAUAGGCCUCGUCGCCGAUCGUGAGGACUCGUCCCAUCAUGUCGUCGGUAAUCAUUAGGGUUUCGUCUGUUCGAUCAUCUCAAGCCUUGGUUCCUCGAUGGAUCUUUUUUCCCGUCUUUUCUCGAUUUUGAAGAACCGAAAUGACCUGGACAAAAUUACCUAAUUCGAUGUGUGGUUUCUUGAAACCUCGAAUUGCUCUAGUUGAUGGCAUGAUAUAUAUGGGAGGAGCGCUUGUGGCGGAAGUGAUAGAAUUUCCUGCAGGUGAGAGGCUGAGUACCGCAUGCGACGACCUGUUUAUCCAUCAACGCUGGGAUACGGGUGAUUUUUUGAGUUUGCAUCGGCAAUCUGCCGAGGCAUAUUUGCAGAACAGCAUUGGACUGUGAUCAUAUCCAUUCCAGGGCAGAUCCAAUUCAUCAUCAACCCAUCCACCAUUUUGGGCGUCAGUGGCUGAGAUUGACUGCAACCGACCACUGAGAGCUGCAAGACGAAGAGUAUCCGAGUCCAAACUAUUAUGUACAACACUACUACUGUUGGGAGAAGAAGAAGCAAUCUACUCCUUUUCCUGCUCCAACCAAGAUUGUAUACAUGAAGAGCUUGAUCUUAUCCACUCAAUUUGUAAUAGAUUUAGUUCGAGGAACGAAAGAACAUAUUGUUGUUGUGCUGCUCUUAUCAAAUUAUAUGCUACAAAAGCCAUUUUCCCAAAA